RNAcentral lists this small RNA (838 nucleotides) under Drosophila willistoni. RNAcentral's name for it is "GK27501". Lineage: Eukaryota; Metazoa; Arthropoda; Insecta; Diptera; Drosophilidae. The record is from RNAcentral.
CCAAGAAUACAAAAUGCCUCUGGAAUAGUGAAGAAUAGACGAGUCUCAAUGUUUGACAUACACAUCAGACCUCCGACGCUGGGUCUGCUUCUUUAUCUACAUAAACCUUCUGCAUACAACUAAUUCAAGAAACACGAACAAAAAUUACACGGACACCUGCUUACAUUUUCAAACGGUUUUCCAAUCAAGUAAACAUCGACAAAUGAACUGUCAACAUAUUUUUUCAAUAAGAAACCUCUGGAAUAGUGAAGAAUAGACGAGUCUCAAUGUUUGACAUACACAUCAGACCUCCGACGCUGGGUCUGCUUCUUUAUCUACAUAAACCUUCUGCAUACAACUAAUUCAAGAAACACGAACAAAAAUUACACGGACACCUGCUUACAUUUUCAAACGGUUUUCCAAUCAAGUAAACAUCGACAAAUGAACUGUCAACAUAUUAUUUCAAUAAGAAACCUCUGGAAUAGUGAAGAAUAGACGAGUCUCAAUAUUUGACAUACACAUCAGACCUCCGACGCUGGGUCUGCUACUUUAUCUACAUAAACCUUCUGCAUACAACUAAUUCAAGAAACACGAACAAAAAUUACACGGACACCUGCUUACAUUUUCAAACGGUUUUCCAAUCAAGUAAACAUCGACAAAUGAACUGUCAACAUAUUAUUUCAAUAAGAAACCUCUGGAAUAGUGAAGAAUAGACGAGUCUCAAUGUUUGACAUACACAUCAGACCUCCGACGCUGGGUCUGCUACUUUAUCUACAUAAACCUUCUGCAUACAACUAAUUCAAGAAAUACGAACAAAAAUUACACGGACACCUGCUUACAUUAAGCAUGAAGAAACCAC